UUUUGUAACUAUCACAUAAUUACAAUUCAGCCCCUCUAGUUUAAUUAAUUACACUUGAUCACAAAAUUAAUUCUUAAUUAAUUAUUGACCAAUAUUAAUUAAACAAAUAUGAUUUCUCCUUUAAUAUAUUAUUCUUAUAACAUAUUAAUAAAUCAUAAUAACCUCUCUCUCUAUUUAUUUCUCCAAUCAAGUUGCUUUGGUGAAGGCAACCCAAAAGGACCAUGCACCAUCGGGUCAAGUACAUACCAAAAUAGUUAUGGACUUAGACACUAAUCCAACAGUCUCCCACUUGGAUAAGUCUAACAACUAUUCUGCGUAUGACUUCGGAUCCCGAUCUGCAAUCGUAGCUUUCCAAAGCCGCUGUCAACUCUGAUCAUAUCAGAUACGCGUGUCCUUAGAUAAGGGAUCAUAUAUUCCUCCAUUCUAGAUAUCAUAUGAGAUAUGAUUUCAAAUCAUUCUCUUUGUACUAUAUCUCGAUUUCCGAUUUAUGACGACUGACUAAUUGAACAAAUCAAAUUAGCCCUAGCCCGGCCGAGCAUUUACGUUUGUCAUCACUAAAUCAUCGAGGGGCCCAAAGAUAUCGCUUUUAUCCUACUUUGGAUAAAAGGAACGGAUAAACUUUGAUACAAUGCUUGCUUGCACUCACUCACCGAAUCACACACAACAAUAUGUUUUAUAACACCAAGUUACUAGUGCGUUUACAUAUUAUCAAUGUGCAACCGAUUUGCAAGAUACAACUCACACAUCUCGGUUUCAAGAAUAUAAGAUGUUAUCGUCUCACCAAUCACUCGUGAUACAAUUCAUGGAGUGAUCCAAGUGAGCGUGGGUUUAAUCCAAUGCUCAAAUCAUAUUCAUAAGCACUCAUGAACGUUGCAGCAAACAUUUGCUUAUGUCUAAUACUCUUUUAGACAAUCCACACACCAAUUCACGACAGUCUUCAUUCAUAUCUACUUCCAACAUAUGAACGACUGUGGCCCGUUCGAAUAAUUCGAUUAUUCUUAAUAAACUCAAUUAUUCUGGAAGUCAAAACAUGCAAAUGUGAAACACAAGAAUAAUACUAAUCCCAUAUGGCCUCAAACCUUUGAGUAUAAAUAAAACUCCUUUUAUUUAUCACCAUAUCGAUUACUCAUUAUUUGUCGUUUCGGGUAAUCAACUUCUUACUUGAAUUACUACACUUGUCCCAUGCUCCUAGCAUGCACACAAUGUUUACCUAUGGUUCUUACUUUGUGAAAUAGAUCAAAUUGAACACAUUUCCAAUCAUUCUCAUUUCACAACUCCAAAUCCUUUUUCAUAAGUGAAAGAAUAUCAAAUUCUUGCUACUUAUAGAAUAUGCUAGAUUCUAACAUUCUAUGCAAUGAUCCUUUCGUAAUGUCACUGCACCAAAGUCACAAAGACUAUUGCCAAUGAUAUUACAAAGUCCUCUAUCGGAGAUUGUUACAAGACAAUUCCUUAGAUAUGAUGUCUCUCACUCAAAGUACAUUCCUUUGAACAUCCUUUUGCAUAAAAGUUUCUAAUCUAGACAUAGAUUUUCAAUAUUCAAUUCCCAAUAUGGACACGCUUCCAUAUUUUCCAUAUGACAACUCAUUCUUAAUAGAAUCUUAUCUAUUCGUAAUGAUGUCGAUAUGGUCCAUCCAAUAUGGAAACAUUUCCAUAAUUUCCAUAUGACAACUCAUUCUUAAUAGAAUCUUUUCUAUUCAUAAUAAUGUCGAUAUGGUCCAUCCAAUACCAUGCUUCCAACUACUCACAAGCGACCAAUCCUCGUCGAACUUUGGAUUGUCCUUUGAUAGUUGUUUAAUUAUUUUAGUCAAAACCAAUUCUAGUCCCUUUUCCCUCUAAAUGCGCUCGACAUUUGGAAAAUUUUAGAAUGGUCAAACAUUAAAGCAUUUGCAAUCGAUCCUAUACCCGAAGCGUAUGGGACACGACGCAUAAUGUUUUAUUUGCUAUGUUCUCAAAAUUCGAAUUGUGAAGAGGAAUGCCGUAAUCAUAAUCGAAAUUUUAAGAACACACUAUGUACCUUUGACUAAAUUUAUUAACAUUUCUCAACCUAAUCCUUUAGAUUUGAAAUGAAGCAUAAUAUUCUCUCCCUUAAUUAUAGCAAAACAACUUUACAACCCUUACGACUUUGCAAGGUAUAACUCUUGUUUUCUAUAAUUAAUAUUGCCAACUUGCAAUACGUGCCUUAAUAAUCAUACAAUCAUAACAUUUAUGCUCCCACUAUCAUGAUGAUUAUUAUAAAACAUAACACUUAUGCUCCCACUAGCUUCGACAUGUAUUCAUAAACAUCUUAACUUUCAGAAAAACAAUACUUAUUGAAUUUCUUAAGUUCAUGUUUCUAAUACUUAGUGCUUUGAUAAUCUUUUAUCAAGGCUUCUUGAACUUAUACACCUUUGCCUUCGAUAGUUCAUAUGUGUGUCUAAACAAUUAAGACUAAUUGCCAAACCUCACAAUUCAAAUUAUGGAAAGGGAUACCGUAACCAUAAUCGAAUUCGAGAAUGCAAUUUUACAAUCACUAUCUUCUUAAAAUCUUUCUUAGUGAAAGCAUUUCCUCACAAUCAUUUUCAUGAAGGAGGAAAUCUUAUGACACUUAGAUUUAAACGGUGUAUGUGUUCCUAUCCAUGUGAAUUUGUUAAAACCAAAGUUUACGACAAAUUCAAACUCAUAUGGACCGAACUUUCUUAAUCUUGAUUUCUUGCCUUAUGGUAGCACAGCUGCCCACCAUGUCUUCCAAGUAGUUAAGCAGCUCACCCUUUCCUAUCAAUGUACCUUUCAUUGAUUAAGGUGCUUUGCCUUUUAUGCGUUCAAAAUGAGAACUCAUAGAACUCACAUGCAUAAUUAACUCGAUUGGAUUGGCACAGAAACAAAAUAAUGUCAACACGAUAGGUUGUAAACCUCAACUCGUGUGCUAGUGAUGAUCGAUAAGGUUUUUUUUGAUUUGUUCUUGAAACCUUUCAAGACCAUUAAGACUCCCACUGACUCCUUGACAUAUAAGAUUCUCUUGUCAAUAAACAUUUCUUGACAAACAAAUAUUCAAGAGUUAGUGUAGUUUUUAUCAAAACACUUCAUAAAUUGGUCCUAGUUGGUCUUUGUCUUAUCCAAGACAUCACAACUUUCCACAUUUGAUGAAUGUUAUAAACCUUCUUAAUACUUAUCACUCAAUGUCACAAUCUUAACUCUAAGACUUGUUUUGGAACGAAGUAUGAUUGACUUCUUGAUUUAACCAUUUCUUCAAUUCUUGAUUCCUCUUCUUAGACAUACAAUUGUACUAAGACUCACUUAGAGGAUCAAUUGAGAUAUGGUUCUUAAUCAUUAAGACCUAUCAUAAAGCAUAAAAGGUACUCUCCCUUCUUCUUAGAAUGGAGAAACUUUUAUCUUUCUGCCUACUUGAUUCUUCUUAUUCGUUCUGCUAUUGAUUUAAACUUUUUCAAUCAAUUCAGAAUUACACUUAAUCUUGUAAGUAUAAUCAUAUUUACUAAACCUUUAGUAAAUCAUGACGAAUAUCUUUGUUACUCUUAUGGUGGACUUGAUCAACACGCAACUUUGUGUACUCGAUCUCCUAGUCCUUCACUUGACACUUUGUCAAUGAAUUAGUCUAAUUUCCAAAUAUGAAAUUUCUCAUUCAUCGUGCAACCAAGUUGCAUGAUUCCAAGUUUCUGUCCAAUUGAAACUUGGGCGAUGAGAAACUCUCCCUAUUUGGUAAACUCUCGACUUUCCAUAAAUAACAUAAUAAGAACCAAAUCCAUUAUUGCUAAUAAUAGAAACAUUCAAACAUCAAUUUUUCAUAUACGCCAUUGCAAGGAUAAAUAAAUAAUAUAAAAUCAAAAUUUAUUUUAUUGCGGAAAAAAUUUGUCCUUACAAUGCAAUUCAUUGAAAAACUAUGCUAAUACAUCUUUCUUAGCAAUCUAAUUCUAACUCUAAGUAGUAGCUCAAGAAUCUAAUCUUCGAGAAAUGCGAUCGAAAUCCAUUCCUUCACGGUUAGAUUCUGCUCACUUCUUCCCUUAAGCUUCCUUUCUUUUCUUCGAUCCUACAAAACAUCAAUUGUAAUCUUAUCACAUUAUGUAUUAAGAAUCUAGAAUAGAAGCUUAAAAGAGUUAGUUAAUGGAUUUUACCUAUAUUAGAGCCAUACGUUUCGACUCUCCCAUCUCUUAGAUCUCUUAGGUAAAUGGGGCAGCUUCGUCUCCAAUGCCCUUUCUCUUGGCAAUAAAAGCAAAUUGACUCUUUUGGAACAUGACAUGGAACUACUUCAGACAUUGCCUUUCUCUUAUGAUCAAACUUUUCGAUCAUAGCAUGUCUUUCGUUGCCAUUGUCUAUAUCCAUAGAGGUCUUGAAGGCAGAUUCACCAAUCAACUUUGCUUUUCUAUUGCGCCAAACCAUUGCUGAUUCAGCAGCAAUAAGCAUAUAGGUGAGAUCUAUAAGGGUCACGUCGCGGUUCAUCAUAUAGUACUCUCUUACGAACUCACUAUAUGAGUUAGGAAGUGACUGAAGAACCCAAUCAACAGCCAUUUCCUCACAGACAACGGAUCCCAACAUUCUUAACCUAUCAAUGUGUGACUUCAUCCCUAGGACGUGUGCACACACCGACUUUCCUUCUUUAUGUUUACUUGCCAAAAGGGCUUGAGUGAUCUUGAACUUUUCAAGCCUUUGAACUUGUGGGUUAGGGAGAAUAAUUGGAGGAGGAGGAGGAAGUGAAGCAUGAUUUCUUGUUCCUCGAUCGAAUCGUGGAAUAUCAUCUUCAUGUGGAAUGCUUGUUCCACGGGAUUUGGGAAGACCAUAGUUGUCGAACUUUGACAUCUACAAAACGGGAGAAAACGAAUUCAAGUUAGUUGAUUGAUUGAGUCCUUAGUAAAUCACCCAAAUGAGAUACUAAGGCUAGGACCCAACACAAUAUUCUACAACUCGGGAGAGGGAUGCCGUAACCCUAAUUGCAGAAUAUUUGAAGGUAAGUGAAUGACGAUUCACUAAUUUCCACCAUGAAAAACGAAAAAGAAAUUUAAGUUUUAAAUCUAUGAAAACUCCUAGAUCCUUUGAGAUUCAUUGAACUUUCAAUGGCAUGUUUAAAUCUCGAUAUGCCCCUCUUGUUUGUGACUGGGAUGCCGAGGAUCACAAAGCGGGUGUGAAUAACCAUGCAAACUUACAUGGUGCCCUCACAUGUUACAGUCACCUAUUCGAUGUGCCGGUAAACCACACACGCUCCACCGAACUAUGACAAACAUUGAGUCACCCUUUGCUACCUUUGCUUAGAACCAUUUAGUGUGCCGGUAAACCACACACGCUCCACUAACGUCUUCGCAAGGGCACAAAGUGUAAUUUCAUGGAAUUGCAUCAAUUCACUUUUGCCUAAGUAACUAAGAUUGGGAAUUUUAUGAAAACAUUUAGUUACUUUAAUAAUUCAUUAUACUUAUAAUGGAAGGUUUCGUCCUAUCCUACCCGUUCGGCUAACGACCCUCCACUAGUCAAGAGUGCGGUGGGUAAGAGUGGAUACCCAUUCAAUCGCCAUUUUAUAGGCAAUUUCCUUAAACACCCCUUAUAGACCAGCUUCGUGAAUGAGGCCUACUAACGGUAAGACUGACUUUUACUCAUACAUAUAUAUAAUGUUAGACUUUUAAUGUUAUAUAUAGUAUAGGGUGUAUUUUACACUUUUAAAAUACUAGGUGGUCUAAUUUAACAAUUAUACUUUUAAUUCAAUUAAAUUGUAAACCAAAACUUUUAUGGAUUUAUUAAACCUCUUUUAAUUAUACACCUUAAUUAAUUAAUAAAACCAUAAGGGUGUGAUUUGAACUUUUUCAAAACAAUACUAGGGUUUUAGAAUUUAACAUUCCUAAUUAAACUUUUAAUCAACUUUUAAAUUCCAAAACUUGAGGGCAAGUUUUGAAACAUUUCAAAACAUUAGGGUUUAGAAUUUAAAUAUACAUCAAAAUUAAACUAUUAAUCAAAAUUUAAAUUCCAAAACUUGAGGGCAAGUUUUGAAACCUUUUUCAAAACAUUAGGGUUUCAACUAUUUAAAUUUCAAAACAACAAAACUUUUGGGUUCAAAUUUAAACUAUAAAACCUAAAGGGGAAAAUAUGAAACUUUUCAUAACACAAGGAUCAAAUAACAAAUAAUCUAAAUUAACAUUUAAUCACAUAAUUAUCCAUAUUUGAUUUAUUUAAUGAUUUCUUGCAAAACAAUUUACCAAUUUAAUCAAAAUAAUUAAUCAAUUAUCACAUAAGGAAACAAUUAUCUUAUUAAUUGAUAAAUAUCUUCAAUUAGAUCAAGAAUAUAGUCAAAUAUAUCAUAAAAUCGGAUUUAUAUUGAUCUAAUAUGAUAAGGUAACUAUCCAAAAGCAAAAACAACAAGAAAUCGCGAAAUAUGCUCCAUCUGACGAGUUGACUCGUCGAGUCAAGCUUGGACUCGGCGAGUUCAGCUAUGGACUCGGCGAGUCCAGCCUCCAGAAACCAAAAAAUCGAAUUUUUCAAACAUAUCAAGCAUCAAUACAAUAGAAACCAGUCAAGUCUCUGAUACCAAUGAUGGGUUUUGGUCCUAAGAACAUCCUAUGUGCUCAUACAAACCCUAAUGCUUGGAUCUAGGUUUCUCUAUUGUACAUGCAAGUUAUCCAAGACUAUAAACCCUAAUUCUAGCAUACAAGUAAUCAUAUUAACAUAAGAAUGGGUUUAAGAUAUUACCUUGAUUGUUAUGUAGCAAUAACAAUCUCAAAUUCUCCUUGUAUUGACUUUAGAAAGCUUAGAGUCACAAAUGUCACUCCUCUAAUGGUUCACAAACACCAAGAGCAAGAGGAUGAAGAGGAGAGAGGAAGGAGGCUGCCCUAAAACGUGUGAAACCCUAGAAGAAUUCUUAGCCACGUUUUUGGGUCAUAAGGGAUCCAUAUAUAUAUAGGAGGCUAUUAGGGUUAUCUAACAAGGAAACCCUAAUUGGAUGCUUAAGCCCUAAGCAACCCCUGGAAUCCUUUAAUUAGGGCCUUGGACGAUUUCCUUAUGGGUUUCCCCAUAGAAUUUGUCCAUCCCUUAAUACAAGGCAAUCCACGGCCCAAUUGCAAUUAUCUUAUAAUUACAAUUCCAGUCCCUUAAGUUUAAUUAAUCUCUUUUAGUCACAAAACUAAUUACCAAUUAAUAUUAAUUAAACAAUAUGAUUUCUCCUUUAAUAUAUUAUUCUCAUAAUAUAUUAAUAAAUCAUAUUUAAUCCUUUCUCUCCAUAAUUCAUCCUAUCAAGUUGCUUUGGUGAAGGCAACCCAAAAGGACCAUGCACCAUCGGGUCAAGUACAUACCAAAAUAGUUAUGGACUUAGACACUAAUCCNCACUUUGUUAGUAAUCAUCGGCAUCCCCGUCACAAACUUGAAAGGGCACAAUCGAGAUUGAAACAUGCCAUUGAAAAGUUCAAUGAAUCUCAAAAGAUCUAGGAGUUUCAAAAACAUUUAAAACCUAAUUUCGUUUUCGUUUUUCAUUGUGGAAAUUGGUAAAUCGUCAUUUACCUACCUUCAAAUAUUUUGUAAUUGGAUUACGGCAUCCCUCUUCCUAAUUGCAUGAUAUUGUGUUGGAUCUUAGCCUUGAAAUUUCAUUUGGGUGUUAUGUCAAGGAUUCUUAUCAACUAACUUGAAUUUUCUCCCGUUUUGUAGAUGUCAAAUGACUAUGGUCUUUCCGAAUCCUUUGGAAAAAGCUUUCCACUUGAAGGUGAUGUUCCAAGAUUGGAUCGUGGAAAUUGGAAUCAUGGUUCACUUCCUCCACCUCCUCCAAUAGUUCUCCCUGACCCACGUGUUCGAAGACUUGAAAAGUUCAAGGUCACUCAAGCCCUAUUGGCUAGAAAACACGAAGAUCGAAAGUCUAUAUGUGCUCACGUCUUUGAGAUGAAGUUACAUAUUGACAGGAUGGGAAUGUUGGCUGUCGAUGUCUUAAGGAAGUUGGCUGUUGACUUGGUUCUUCCAUCACUUCCCGAAUCAUAUAGUGAGUUCAUUAGUGAGUAGUAUAUGAUGGACCAUGACAUAAACCUCAUUGAUCUUACCUAUUUUCUUAUUGUUGCUAAAUCAGUGAUGAUUUUGCACACUGGUCAAGCAAAUUUGUUGGGAAGAUCAACCUCCCAAACUUCCAUGGACAUUGACAAUGGAAACAUUGGAAGUCCAGAAAAGUUUUCCCUGUGCAAGAGAAAGGCUAAGUCUGAGAUUGUCCCGUGUACGAUUCUGAAGAAGUCCGUUUGUCUCUACUGCCAAGAGAAGGGGCAUUGGUUGCGAAGCUGUCGUACCUACCUGAAGGAUCAAGAAGAUGGGAGAGUCAAGAUGUACGACUCUGCUUCAGGUAAAUCCACUAUCUAACUCUAUUAAGUUCUUCUUUUUAGAUUCUUAAUACAUGAUAUGAUAAGAUUACAUUUUGAUGUGAUAAGAUUACUAUUCUGACUAUCAUACUGUCUGAUCUGUACUAGCAUGCAUUUAUAAUAAAGCUGAUACACAUAUAACAAGCACAUAAGGCAUCUCCCUAGAUCCUUAGUGCUAAUCUAGCAUGCUAUUCUAAUAAAGAUGGAAUACAUAUCAUAACAUAAACUUGAUGGAUUAUGAGCAUAACAUCAUUCUUAUGGUGUUCAUGCAACCCUAAUUGCUUUGAUCUAGGUUUUUCUAAUUAAACAUACAACAUUGUGUACCAAAGUAAUAAACCCUAAUUGACUAGCAUACAAAUCUGAAAUUGACAUAUGAUUAGGGUUAGAAUCAUUACCUUGAUUGUUAUGUAGCAAUAACAAUCUUAAAUUCUCCUUGUAAUGGCUUCUGAAAGCUUAGAGUCACAAGUGUGACUCCUCUAAUGGCUCACAAACACCAAGAGCAAGAGGAUGAAGAAGGAGAAGAGGGGAGGCACCCAAAAGCGGCUGGAAACCCUAAGGAAUUAGUUUUUCCACGUUUUUGGGUCUCAAGGGUUCUUUAAAUAGGUAGGUAAUUAGGGUUAUCUAACAAGGAAACCCUAAUUUGACUGCUUAAGCCCUAAGCAGCCCAUGGACCCCUUCUAAACAUGCCUUGGACGAAAAUCAUAUGGGCUUCCCAUAGAUUUCGUCCAACCUAUAUUCCAAGGUGAUCCAUAGCCCAAUUGCAAUUAUCUUAUAAUUACAAUUCCAGUCCCUUAAGUUUAAUCAAUCUCUUUUAGCCACAAAAUUAAUUCAUAAUUUAAUUAUUGACUAAUAUUAAUUAAACAAUAUGAUUUAUCCUUUAAUAUAUUAUUCUCAUAAUAUAUUAAUAAAUCAUAAUUAAUCCUCUCUCUCCAUAAUUCAUCCUAUCAACUUGCUUAGGUGAAGGCGACCCAAAAGGACCAUGCACCAUCGGGUCAAGUACAUACCAAAAUAGUUAUGGACUUAGACACUAAUCCAACAGUCUCCCACUUGGAUAAGUCUAAUAACUAUUCUGCGUAUGACUUCAGAUCCUG
RNAcentral lists this long non-coding RNA (9388 nucleotides) under Lactuca sativa (garden lettuce). RNAcentral's name for it is "long non-coding RNA (LSAT_LNC007949)". Lineage: Eukaryota; Viridiplantae; Streptophyta; Magnoliopsida; Asterales; Asteraceae. The record is from RNAcentral.